UUAAGUUCAGCGGGUAUCCCUACCUGAUCCGAGGUCAAAACUAUGGUUUUCGCUUACUGGAUGCCAGUGACGCGGGUCGAGGCGCGAAUCUGCUGCGCUCGUAGCCCAAAUACACAGGCCGCCAAUGAUUUUAAGGCGAGUCCGCGCCGGAGGCGAGACAACGCCCAACACCAAGCAUAGCUUGAGGGGUGAGAUGACGC
RNAcentral lists this unclassified non-coding RNA (200 nucleotides) under Ascomycota sp. Its description in RNAcentral is "partial internal transcribed spacer 2". The record is from RNAcentral. Lineage: Eukaryota; Fungi; Ascomycota.